RNAcentral lists this long non-coding RNA (266 nucleotides) under Gossypium raimondii (Peruvian cotton). RNAcentral's name for it is "long non-coding RNA (GRAI_LNC010711)". Lineage: Eukaryota; Viridiplantae; Streptophyta; Magnoliopsida; Malvales; Malvaceae. The record is from RNAcentral.
UCAUUGCCGGGGACUGUUGCCUUAAUCAUUCUUUGUGAAAUUAUUUCUACAAUUUGGUUUUUAUUUUUUAUUUAUUUAAUUUUUAACUCUACUAAUUAAUUUUUUAUUUUUAUUCUUUAUUUGUGAUUUACUCUUAGGUGUUUUAUGAGCAUAGAUUGAAUCAUUGAUCUAUUACUCGUGGACCCUAAAAUUAAGCAGACUUUUAGACAAAGAAGAUACGAGAGAUUUGCUCGAAGACAAACCGAGAUGGACCUUGGAAAUCAAAA